GAUGCAGUCAUGGUGGAUGGGGCCCAAUGUGCUGGCUCCAAGGUCCAAGGACUCCAGAGCCAGCUUGCACAGAAUGUGAUCAUGCGAGCAGACUUUGCCCUGCCUGGCAGGCGCUGAGCCACUCCUUACAGCAUCCUGGACACAGUCCGCGCUGCACUGGAAGCUGAACGAGAACCCGAGACCAUGCAGAAGUGACUUUUAAAGGCCUUUCAGUGCUCGCUAAGCCACCGUUUCGGCAGGGGUGGCAAGCCUCAUUUUAAGCAAACACCCUUGUAAGAGGCCCGCGGUCCCUCCGCUGUGCGCUUGAGGGGCCACCUGGACCAGCAGGGGGACAGCUUUGAGUGACAGGGGCCUCCUCCAGGCAGCACCUGCAGAGCCCUGCUGACGCCCUCAGAUCCACAGGGUGACUUCUGAACAGCUGCGCCUGCGCCCGGCCUUCUCUCGCUCCACCUGAAUGACACUUGCUUUACUCUCACUCCGAUUCGUCCUGGACAUCUUUCCGGGAGGGUCAAGGUCCUGGAGGUCCCUGACUCCCGCGGAGGCUGGGCCAGCCCAGGUGCGGAAGCGGCCCAGUAACAGAAAUACUAUUUCCACAAGGUGUUCCCUUCACAGAAGGCAGCUGGAGCUCCAGCCUUAUGACCUUGGUCCAAGAUUUAUCUCGCCUGUGCCUCAGUUUCUCAUCUGUGACCACAGGGGUUACAGGCUGGGAGAAGAACAGGCAUUGUACUGAACACCCGCUGUUUCUCCCAGGCCUAGAAUCUUCAGGAAGGUCUACUGCUCAGACAGGCUUCCAGCUCCCACAGUUACUGGCCUUCCAGCUCACUUCAGGGGAGGGGUUGAAGGUGUGAACAAUGAAGCGCUUUCUUUCCUGAAAAUCAAAGCCACACGAUCACUCGGUGUUUAGUGAUGUGUCAUGUUUAUGGGGACCAUGCAAGUUACUCAAACAGGCGUCUUCCUCAUAGAGUGUCACUUUCUAAAUUCGAUUAAUUGAAUAAAAAUGUUCAUACGUGUAAAGGAACAAUCUAUUUUAAUGAACCAUUUUUGUAAAACAAGGAUUUGUAUUCUAUGAUCAUUCCAACUCAUACAUUUAAAAGAUAAUCUGCGUUUUCAUACACAA
This is a long non-coding RNA of Myotis davidii, 1117 nucleotides long. RefSeq lists it as uncharacterized. The transcript is spliced from 2 exons. Lineage: Eukaryota; Metazoa; Chordata; Mammalia; Chiroptera; Vespertilionidae. The record is from RefSeq and is a predicted model, not a curated record.